CUUCUAUUUGAGGGGUGAGCCCGCUGUACUGCUUCGUUGCCAUUCCUUGAUCAGCAGCAGCAGGACGAUACCAUCCAUACCCCUCCCCCACACACGCGAACACACACGCGCUUCACUGCGUUGCGAGUAAAUGUGCGCUCUGCUUGAUCUCUACCCUCUCGUUGCCAGAACCUGUCGUUAGCCUUUAUUCGUGUCAUCUAUAUUUAUUUAUUGGCGAGAAGGCACCCGCUGAACGCCAUUGUGUGCGCCUGCCUUAGAUACCCCCGCGCACACACGCGCGCCGACACUAGAUAUUGCUCACCUACAACGAUAUACACAUCUACACACACACACACAUAUAGAGAUAGGCUCACUCGCUCUCACGCAAAUAGCAGCCAACGUGCGUCUUUGGGUGGAUGGAGGAGAGGAGGGGGAGCGUGCGUGCGUAGUGAUCAGCAGCAGAGAACGGCUCGCUUGCACAGCUGCUUGCUCGUUGUUGCCACUCUUUUCUUUUUCUCUUCUUCUUGGUGAAUGCGAGUGGAACGGUCGGGCCUGCGCGCGCACGGGACCGGACGCUCUCUGGCUCAUCCAGACGGUUCUCGUGUUCCUGAGAAAACAACUGUACCUUCAAGAGCUUCGCUGGAUGCCGACCUCCGGGUCACCAUCAUCACCACGAUCGCCAGAAGCUCCGAAGGCGACACGCGCUCAUCGACUCUGUGGCUGCGGCGCAUCCGUGUACAACCAACCACUCACAGCACAAAAUAAACAACCACCAUACCUAGAGCAGCAUCUCAACCAUGCAUAAUGGGCACCAUCGCAAAAUCGAUGGGCAUCUCGACAGUAUUGAAGACUAUCUGCGUCGCAUGGCGCGGCCACCACGGACACGAUACGACCCACCUUCACUGCAUCAGGUACCCCGCACCGCUUUCUUCCUCGUGAGUAGCAGCCAUGAGGGCGGCCCUUCUUAUCAGUCCGCCAACGAGCAGGCAGGGCUGCAGGCCAGCACGGCCUACAAUAUGCCGCCCUCUUGUGCCGGGCUGCUGUCAACUCCAGCGAGCACCUUGGCGGCUCCCCGAGCGAUGCGAGACUCCACUGCAGUGAGAACAGCCGCAGCACACCAUGCGGAUCCCGCCUCAGCGCUGUUCACGGGCAUUCGACCGCCGACCUCGUCGCUUACAAGGCUUCCACGUGCGCUGGCGGAGGCUGCACCCCCUCACACUGCUGCUCUUCUCUCUUCAAGAGCUAAAUUUCCGUCCUUUUCGCAGCAAGAGACCACACACAUGCACCGCCGUGGCUGCAGCAACGAUAGCAGCAGCAGCACCAGUGCCAGCGAGACGGCACACGAGAAAGGUACGACGCCAGUGUCCAACUCCACCGCUGCGUCAAGCCUCCUCAUACCAGCAGUGCGGCCGCCGCCGCUAGCGUCCCUUGAAGGCGCUGCUGCAGCCCGUGAACAGGCAGCCGUGGUGCCCGCACGGCGUCGGAGCUAUGGCCCGCGCAGCCCCUCGCCUUUUGCGUCCUCCCAGGACAAGAGCCGAGGUCGCAGCAUGAGGGCCAUCUUGGAGGGGCUCGAGGAGCACCUACGAGCUUCACCUCUGCUAUCGCGAUCGCCACAACAAAUGGAUUCCGACCGUCACCCCGGCAGCAGCCGGCACCCUCACGAGCGCAGCAGUGUUCACCCAACGUCGCUGCCGCAGUGGGGGAUCACCGAGCUGCCUCACUACAGAGAGGAUGAUUCGGCAGCCCGCGAAAGAGCUGUGCAUAUCAUGGGGGAUCUCGCCACGGCGACAUCACCCAUGGCAGAUGAUCAUCUCUCGUCGCUGCUCUCUUCGCUGGGUGGCAGCCCAAAUUCCUGUGAAACACCGUUUCGCCGUCGCCUCCGUCACCUCGACCAUCUUCUCGGCGACGGUGCAGCGCACCGUGAUGCCACCUCCACACCGCGGUCUUGCUACCGUCACGAUGACAUCUCUGCCUUGGCAGGCACAUACGGUAGCAGCGAGCCCCGAGCCACUCGAUGCCGUGACCCGCCCGCUGCGGAAGAAUCUUUAACGAAGAGAAGGCUGCUGCCGGCGGAAAGCCGCACUGCGACAGGCACAUUGGCGGUGCCGCCGAUAGCACAGCCAACGAGCAUGCCUUCAGUGUUCUACGCAAACGUGCCCGACGAGAAACCUCACCUCCGCCGAGCGUACACCGCGCGUCUCGAGGCAGCCUCCGGCGCAGAUGUCGCGACACCGCUGCGUCUCGAGACAGCCUCCGGCGCCGACGUGCCGACUCCCUCGCGUCUCGAGGCAGCCUCCGGCGCAGAUGUCGCGACACCGCUGCGUCUCGAGACAGCCUCCGGCGCAGAUGUCGCGACACCGCUGCGUCUCGAGGCAGCCUCCGGCGCCGACGUGCCGACUCCCUCGCGUCUCGAGGCAGCCUCCGGCGCAGAUGUCGCGACACCGCUGCGUCUCGAGACAGCCUCCGGCGCCGACGUGCCGACUCCCUCGCGUCUCGAGGCAGCCUCCGGCGUAGAUGUUGCGACACCGCUGCGUCUCGAGACAGCCUCCGGCGCCGACGUGCCGACUCCCUCGCGUCUCGAGGCAGCCUCCGGCGUAGAUGUUGCGACACCGCUGCGUCUCGAGGCAGCCUCCGGCGCAGAUGUUGCGACACCGCUGCGUCUCGAGGCAGCCUCCGGCGCCGACGUGCCGACUCCCUCGCGUCUCGAGACAGCCUCCGGCGCCGACGUCUCCACACCAGCCCGCGGGGGUGCCGAGGACAACGCGGCUGCUGGGAAUCUCGGUUUGCAAGAUAAAGUGUCCGUGGAUGCUUCGAGGCUGAGCAGAAGUUUAGGUGUGAGUGACGGGAGCGAAGGGCUUCCGGGUGCUGAGCGGCAUCGCGGUGUUGACGAAGCGAAUGAAGCGGUGGGCCUAGACGCUGAAGGAGACGUGCUGGCCACACUGAACACCUUCCGUUCGGCGGAUGUGCACGACAGCCCCAUCCCUUCAUCUCUGCAACAGCAGGAGCAGUUGUCGGUGGGAUCGGUCAGCACGGAGUUGACCGCAUUGACUGUCAUCAGCAUCGAGGGAGGCCUUUGUGGGCCCAGUCGCAGUGGCAGAGGCGACGUGAGCAACGAAGAGGACGUGAGCGGCGGCCGGUGUCUGGCGACGCGUCUCUGGGCACGGCGGCAAGGUGCGCGGGCUGCGCAGCAGCUGCUUGCCCUGCGGAAGCGCGAGCGUCAGCACCGGCAGAGCGUGGUAAAGCGGGAAGUCGAGGGACGUUACGCGAUUCGGCUCCGCGAGGCCAGCGAUGCGGCUGAUGUUGGUUUGGAGUGGCUGCGAGGCGCGGACGAAGACACUGUGACAGCCACGAGCUUCACGCUCUCCAGCUCUCCAUCUCGGCUCGUCAGGCAGCUGCCGCAUCGCGCGAAGGACGGCAGUCGCAGCGAAACGGUCGGAAGUCGAAGGAUCGAUCGCUUAGCGGAUGAUGGCGCCACAGCCGAGGUAAGUCGGUAUGAAAGCCGCAGCAGCGGAAGCGGUCGCACACUGUCAAGCUCGAAGAGCAGUAUGUCUGUCAUCGACGAUGCAGAGCAGCAGCGUGCUUUCAAGAGGGCAUGUCCCGUCGGUCGCGAGGCUCAAGCACUGGUGCCAUCUUUUGAAGUGGCAACGGGAGCUGCCGCUGAGGACGCCGCAAUGGCGGAGAGGCACGACUCUCCGGCUGCAUCGCUCACCGGGGCACCAGGGACGGCUGUGUGCGAAGUUGGCCAACCGGGAGGGACCCCUGCGCCGGAAGGCGCGAUCGCUCGCGCAGGUGACGAGCGCACACAGCAGCAGGAGUCUGACUACGCGGCCACAACCGACUUGGCCGUAAAGCCCACGGCUGCAGCAAAGGAAGACGUGUCGCCGCCUUCUCCCCAUAAACUGCUCUCCUCUCACUUGAAGGGUGCGCUCAGCUGUAGUGUCGAGGCUGCCGCGGAUACGCCAGUCGACGAGACGGUGCACGCGGCAGCAGCCGCACCUCAGGGAGAUGACGGGGUGUCUAACGCCCACGUCGCCGACGCACCAAUGCCGCGCCCGCCACCGUCACCGCUGGAGGGACAUUCCUCACCUCCCUCCGACCUGUGGACUCUCGACAAGGGGGAGAGCGAGGGCGACGGUGGCGAAGAGGAGACGGAGGCAAUGAUGACGUCGGAGGGCCAUAAAAGAAGCAGUGGUAACGAUGAGUAUGAAGGCAGCAAGCACGCGAGUGGCGGCAGCAGCUCCGCUGGACGCUCCAUCCCGUCAGGAGCAGGUCCGCUUCCUGCAAGAGCGGCUGCCACCGCGGCGGACAACGACGCCCAGCCCCCAUCGCCCUCCAGCGGCGAUAAGAGGAUCAGCAGUAGCAUCAGCAGCGCGAGCUCCUCCAGUUCUGUGUUCAUUGUACAGCGCAUUGGGGCUCAGCCGCAUCUGUCUCCCUCUGCAAGCGCAGAUGCCAGCAGCACCGGCACGGAGGGGGCAACAGUUGACGUGGGACACACUGAUGCCUCUUCGGCGACGGCCUUCAAGUGGGUGCGCGCCUCCUCAGCGGCGGCCGCAGACGACGUUGCCGAAUACCCUCCAGUAGCAGGGGCGGGGAUGGAGCACGCACAAGCGAGAACCGACGCGGGUGUGCAGGCCAAUCUUGAGGAGAGGGGAGGAAGUGAUGGCGGCGCCGGAAGCAGCCGUAACGCUGCGGGCAAUGAAGACGACCGCUGCAGUGGCCGUUCGCACUCUGCCGGCGCUGCGGUGUUUGUGGACGUGCAAUUUUUGUGCGAAAAAGAUUCCGCCGUGGAUGAACGCGCUAAGAAGGACGGCGAUGUGCUGCGUCCGUCACACCUGGCACCGCAGCCGGCGGAGCCGUCGCUUCCGCCUUAUGCGACUGCUCGCACGAGUACAGAUGUGCCAGUGCCGGCGCGUGGGGCUGCAACAGCGAUGACCACAAGCCCCAGCGUUACCACCACCACGACGCCGUUGAGCAAUGACCAUGGCGCACAGCACAGCACCGCAGUUCGCUCUCCUGCGCCGGAAUCCAUCACGGCACAUCGUCACACUGAUGAGGAGCAGCCACGAUCGCGUCGGAACGCGCGCACCACAUCCUCGUCGGGUGCCUCAUCAGGGUCCUUCUUUUACUCGCUGCCUCGCCAAGGCACUGCCCGUGCUAUGAGCAGCGACGAGAGACGAGAGCAGCAGCUGCUGCACCAGGCCAACACCACUGGUGAGAUAACCUCACCUGUUCACCGGCGAACCGAGGCGGCGCCAGCACCACACGCGUGGCACCAGCGCCCAUGGGAGCAGCCUCGCACCGAUGAGGAUACAGGGUCCACGGCAGCUGACGUAUCCUUUCUGAGAGAGGCGUGGCACGGUGGCUGCUCGUCUGACGUAGGUGGCGGAAUUCGCCCUGAUGACCACAGCCAGAGGGCCUCAACGAGGGGCUCCAUGCGCGGUUGCUCUAGCGGCAGCAGGGACUCGGCUGAGGAUGCGGCACGCCACUCCGCGGCGGUGCCAGCGGCCCCGAAGCAGCCCGCAAUCUCGUGGACAAUCCCGCUAGACUGGGCAGACAGCCUGGAUGAGAUGGAUUCCCGAUACCCCUCAGCAGCGCAUGCAACCCCUGACGUCUCCAUCGUCUCUUCCGUCCCAUCCUCCGCGGCGACGCACAGCGACAGGUGUGCCUCAGCGAGAGCAUCGCAUCGCUACCAGAAGACCCGCGGCAGGGCUCCGCGCCGCCGCCUGCCUCCCCACCUACGUCCUGGUCGUCCGUGGGCUCACCUUCUGACUCGUGGUCUCCGGGCAGUCUUCUUUUCGGCCAGCAGCAGCAGCACCGGCAGCAACGAUGGCAGAGGAGAGGCUUGUGCGCAUGCAGCAAAGCAUGCAACGGGGCCUGGCGAGGCAGCUUGCGCGGAUGCUGGGGCCCAGGCCACCUCCUUCACGGCCGUGCUGUCCGCUGUGCCACGAAGGUCUGGGCCUUGGUAUGCUACACCGGCGCAAGGCACCAAGAAGGAGCACCAUGCUGCGCCUGUGGUCCUCGCUAAGGCCGCACCGCGGCAGCCUCGUCGCUCAGUCUGCAAGGUUUCAGCAGCACACAAUGCAGAAAAGGCGCGUGGAUUUGAAGAAUGGACAAGGCCUGGAGCCGGCACUCAGAGCAUAGAUGUGCUGCGGGAGUCGGCAUCAUCGUACGCGACAGUGAAUAGGUCGAAGGUGCCGACUACCACCACGUAUGCCACGCCAGGGAGGCGCUGGCCUGCAGGCUUCGGUGUAUCACCAUCGCCAGUGCGCACUCGUACGCUGCCACCCCCGCCCUGCAGCGCUGCUUCUGCUGCCACUGCGACUGGCUUGCAGACCCGCACAGCCUCGGCACCGACGUACUCCGCUGCAGAGGCGGCACGCAACACCGCUGAAAGUUUGCUGCAGUUACGUCGACAACGGCAGCCAGCAGGGCUCACGUACGUGCAGCUGUAUGAGCGGGGGCGCUCCUUGCAUCUUAGGGCGCCCGCGAGCGUGUGGCGCCCCAGCUCGGCGACAAGAGCCGUUAUCGCAGGCGGCAUGCGGGCAUGGCAGGCCGCCCCUACUCCCAUUCGCGAGGGUGUCUGCGGCAGAGAUGCGGCAUCCCCGCGCAGCGCGGUGGUGUGGCGGCUAACAGGAGCCCCGCGACCGCGCGUUACUGAGGAGGGACGUGCAGUUCGGCAGCAGGAGCAGUGGGAGCUCCCCCUCAUAUCGACGCCUCAUGAAGCGGUGGCUGCUCGUCGGUUGUCCGAGCCUUCCCCGUAUCAGCCGCGUCGUCUGUCCGCCGCCGGUAUUCGCGGCGGGAUGGCAAGCGAUGCUUCAUCAAGCGCACCAACGGAUGCGGCGCGUCAGACCGAGUAUGCAGUCGAAAGCGUGCGUGCCAGUAAUGUCGUACAAGCACAGUCGUCGCCAUCCCUCUCUGGAACACCGCCAUCGUCGUCGCCCUUCUCGCUGCCGCCUCCACCGCCCACAGUAGCCACCGCUCCCCGUCAUGCCGCACCGACAGCCCCGUCGAUGAAGAAUGCAGCAGAGGAAGGCGCCGGGGACGACGACGAAGCCUGCAAGCCGUUGGAAGCGCGUGACAAGGCGGCCUCGACAGCGCACACCUCUGAGCUGGCACAUGGCAUAACCUCAUUGGGGCACGUUGGCUUCAGCGCGACAGCAGCGGCAGGGGAAGAAGGUGCCACUCAGGGUCGAGACGAGACGGAGCAGGGCGAAGAGAGCGAUGGGGAGGGCUUGUUGAGGACCAGAUCGGAUGCCGCUAGCCGCAGCGCUCUGCGCGUCUCGGCCCCUACUCCAGCGCCCUCGCAGUCGCCACAGCAGCCACCAGGAGCUUCACUGCAGCGCACCCCCGCCGAUGUCACUCCAACGGCUGCCUCCACGGUUGCCGAUGCAGAGCAUCAUCAUGCGGCGAAGACAACUCAACUUCUGCCCACCCCGCCUGGUGACGAACCUGAGCACGGCCCUCAGCCGCAGCCACUGUUACCAUCACCGCACGCGCUCGGGCCUCUUCAGGUAGUCCUUUCCGAAGAGGGUGAAGCAAAUGCAGCGGGGCUCGUAGAGCCCCACGCUGGCAGCGAUGAUGCAGCACAGCUCCUCUCGCAACAAGGCCCUACUGAGCCGUUCAGGGGAGACCAAGCAGCAACAGGAAAAACCGAACGUGGACACGGAUUCGUCUUAGCUGUCGUGGGGACUGCAGAGAUGAGCCACACCGUUGCCAGUAACCUUGGUGCGCGCACACCUGGGACAGCGGCGAAUCCCUACGGCAGCAUCGAUGCGGCUGGUCAGGGCCAGGAUGUUGGGGUGCGUACCAGCCGUGCGGGGACACCUGUGGAUCAGGAAAGUCUCUUGAGUCCCGACACGGAUGCAGCGCUGCUCUCCAUCUUUCCCGCGCCACCCAUGGCGAGUGAAGUGCACGCUGGGCAUUGCACCCCCUCAGCCCCGUCUCCGUUUUCGCCGGCGACGGCGGUGUCUGCUUUUACUAUCGCUUCCGCGUCAGGACUUGCUACAAGCGCGGAUAUACGUUGCCAGUCAGGGGCACCGAGCACCCAUCAACUGUCACACUUACACGUUGCUGAUGAAAGCCCUGCCCCUCUACCACAGCCGGCCCAGCUUACUCCUCAGCCAUCACCGAGAGCCGCAGAACCACGCGCAGGCGCAGCGAGUGCAGCGGAUGGCAACGAUCGCGUCAUACCCCCACCCCCGAAGCAGCAGCAGCGACGUGAGGUACUGGAGAACCGCAUCGCACGGCUCGAAGCGACACUGAUGCUGCAGCGACAGCAGCGGCAGCAGACCGAGCUAAGUCGCUUUCGGGACCACGACCACGACAAGGAAGUGUCGGCGGACUACUUCGAGGCUGCAACGGAUGGCGACGAGGAUCUCUUGCGGAGCGCCUGUGGAAAAGGCGUAGAGUUGCGAAGGCGUAAUAUGCAAUCAUCCCAGCCACGCGGGCGGGGUCGCAGUGUCGAUAGCGUUGGAGGCCGCAGCGCUGUCGCUCUCAGCGCAAAGGGAAGAGGAGCGUCAGGGCAAGCCCAGAGGAGUAUGCUAUCGGCGCCGCAGGCACAGGAUCACCAUCUGCUCGCGCCAGCGUCUGCCAUCUACUGGGCGGCUCGACCUGGAUUCUGCGCUAGCGGCGGCGCCAGGGGCACUGGGGCUGUCCGCAGACGUGGUCUACGCGACGCAGCUGCUCCUUCUGCCCCGCACAUGGACCACGGCAACCGGAGCGGCUUGGCGGUUGCCUUACCCUCCCAGGAAGCUGUUUCUGCAAGCGCGGCACCUGGCGCCAGCAUUGCGUCGUACACGCGGCUUGCAUAUCGUCGGUAUGGCUCGGCGGCUGCGUUCGCGGUCGCGACGCCGGCAGAUCCGAGGUACAGCCACGCCACUACGUCUUUCCUAAUAAGCGCGGACUGGCGCUAUCAGCGCAUGUACGUGGAUAGCAUGUACUUCCCGGAAGCAACCGCUGGCAGCGCAUCGCGGGGUGCCGAAGCGGCAAGCGAAGCUCACAAAGAGGAGAGCAGCUGGUUGGAAGCCACCAGUGGCGCGCCAGAGGAUCCGGCAAACAGCGAAAGCGGACGGGCCACACCGGCCGCAGCUGUGCGACGCGCCUCCUCUGCGAACAACCGCGAUGCUGAUGUCUUUGUAUGUCGGCCUCUUCGCUGAAGCAGCGAGGAACUAAAAAAGUCGUGCCGCUAUGAGCGUCUGCUCAUCCCGCCGCCUGCCCACGCGCAAGGCGAAGAGGCGAGGGGCGCAUGUUUUGUUGCUGUUGUUGUUGCUGCGUGUACGUCCUUGUGUCAGUGGGCCGUGGGGUGUUGUAGUCAUCGCUCGUC
Molecule: unclassified non-coding RNA, 9301 nt
Filed under: Leishmania donovani
Lineage: Eukaryota; Euglenozoa; Kinetoplastea; Trypanosomatida; Trypanosomatidae
Description: gene:LdHU3.14.0470(CDS-product:hypothetical_prote in_conserved)
Source: RNAcentral